This is a non-coding RNA of Caenorhabditis elegans, 21 nucleotides long. The record is from Ensembl. Lineage: Eukaryota; Metazoa; Nematoda; Chromadorea; Rhabditida; Rhabditidae.
UUAAAACUUUGAUUGGAAAAA